UGGGGAAUUUUGGACAAUGGGCGAAAGCCUGAUCCAGCCAUGCCGCGUGCAGGAUGAAGGCCUUCGGGUUGUAAACUGCUUUUGUACGGAACGAAACGGUCUUUUCUAAUACAGAAGGCUAAUGACGGUACCGUAAGAAUAAGCACCGGCUAACUACGUGCCAGCAGCCGCGGUAAUACGUAGGGUGCAAGCGUUAAUCGGAAUUACUGGGCGUAAAGCGUGCGCAGGCGGUUAUGUAAGACAGUUGUGAAAUCCCGGGCUCAACCUGGGAACUGCAUCUGUGACUGCAUAGCUAGAGUACGGUAGAGGGGGAUGGAAUUCCGCGUGUAGCAGUGAAAUGCGUAGAUAUGCGGAGGAACACCGAUGGCGAAGGCAAUCCCCUGGACCUGUACUGACGCUCAUGCACGAAAGCGUGGGGAGCAAACAGGAUUAGAUACCCACGUAGUCCCUGAGCGGGCUGGCAAGGCGCAU
Molecule: ribosomal RNA, 471 nt
Filed under: uncultured bacterium
Lineage: Bacteria
Description: bacterial SSU rRNA
Rfam family: Bacterial small subunit ribosomal RNA
Source: RNAcentral